UUGGGGCCCAGGCUGGAGGAGGACCAGGCUCGGUUGAGGCUGCUUUGGGGCCCAGUCUGGAGGGGGGCCCAGUCUGGAGGGGGCCUGGCACAGUUGUGGCCUCCUUUGGGCCCAGUCUGGAGGGGGCCCAGGCAGAGUCAGGGCGUCGGGGCCCAGGCUGGAGGAGGACCAGGCUCAGUUGGGGCUGCUUUGGGGCCCAGGCUGGAGGAGGACCAGGCUCGGUUGAGGCUGCUUUGGAGCCCAGUCUGGAGGGGGGCCCAGCACAGUCGGGGCCUCGGGGCCCAGUCUGGAGGGGGCCUGGCACAGUUGUGGCCUCCUUUGGGCCCAGUCUGGAGGGGGCCCAGGCAGAGCCAGGGCGUCGGGGCCCAGGCUGGAGGAGGACCAGGCUCAGUUGGGGCUGCUUUGGGGCCCAGGAUGGAGGGGGGCCUGGCACAGCCAGAGCCUUGUGGCAGCAGUCCAACUCUGAAGUUCAACCUUUAACCAUAACCUAAAAUGGUAACCGUAGUGAAAGGUAGUGGCAGAUACAGCUGCUUUACUGUGUUUUAAUUUUCCCAAGAAUGGUGAAGGACUCAAGCUAGUAAAGAAAGACCCCUUUCUGAAGAGCAGGACUCAGAAGGUAUUACCGGAGAGCAGAUGUCCCAGUAGAGAUUCUUCCCCUUAGACAGCCAGCCCUUAAAUGAGGUUAGGGAGGGCUGGGACCAGGCUCCACCCCUUUUCUGCACAGGUGAAACGCUUCCAGCCGUGCUCCGCAGCAGACCAUGUUUUAACAAAGGUGAAAGCCUGUGAAACAAAAGAAUCCCUUCUUACUUGUUUCACGUUUGUGUUUGUUGACUGCAGUUCCAACCAGGUGGACUCUCAAUGUCUUGCAAGCGACACCUAGAAGCAGGUACAGGCAGGAGGUACAGCACCCUGCAACCUCCAGGGGCCUUUGUGCAAAUGUUCAUGUCCUAGAAGCACGUGGCGGAGCACGUCCUGGGAUCAAGGUGCCAUGGACUGGAAAAUGCAGCUCUGGACAUACAGGCUUGGCGGAGUUCCUGUAUGAAGACAAAACUCCCAAUACUCCAGAAACGUGGAGGCAGAAGAGCAGUGACAAGAUGGCAGCAGAGGGGCAAAAAGAAUGGCAUCUGACAUGGAAGUGCACAUGAAGAAGAG
Gallus gallus (chicken) is the source of this 1152-nucleotide long non-coding RNA. RefSeq lists it as uncharacterized. NCBI's taxonomy places the organism in Eukaryota, Metazoa, Chordata, Aves, Galliformes, Phasianidae. The transcript has 3 exons. The record is from RefSeq and is a predicted model, not a curated record.